Molecule: small RNA, 838 nt
Filed under: Pongo abelii (Sumatran orangutan)
Lineage: Eukaryota; Metazoa; Chordata; Mammalia; Primates; Hominidae
Description: processed transcript
Source: RNAcentral
GGCCCACACUCACUGCCCAGGGAGAGCUGCUGGCUGCUGGUGGAGGGAUGUCCAGGCCGCUCAGGAGCCGCGCCCCUCUCCGGCCAGGCCCAGAGAGCACGGGGGCCCCCACAGGAGCCAGAGGGGAGGCCGCCAGGGCAGUUGUGAGGGGGCCUGUGGGGGAACCUGUGAGACAGCCUGUGAAGAGACUCACUAGGGCUUCUGUGCGGGGGCCCAGGAACGUGCCCCAGGUGGAACCCACAGGGCAUCUGGGAAGAGACCCACGAAGGCGGUGCAGGGGCCGGGAAGAGGCCCCGGAGGGGCCCUCACGGGGAGCUGCGGAGGUGCGGGAGACGCGGCGGCGGCACGAGCGGCGCCUGGUGGAGGUGGACAGCAGCCGGCAGCAGGAGUACGACUUCAAGAUGGCACAGGCGCUGGAGGAGCUGCGGAGCCAGCACGACGAGCAAGUGCGGCUCUACAAGCUGGAGCUGGAGCAGACCUACCAGGCCAAGCUGGACAGCGCCAAGCUGAGCUCUGACCAGAACGACAAGGCGGCCAGUGCAGCUCGCGAGGAGCUGAAGGAGGCCCGCAUGCGCCUGGAGUCCCUCAGCUACCAGCUCUCCGGCCUCCAGAAGCAGGCCAGUGCUGCUGAAGAUCGCAUCCGGGAGCUGGAGGAGGCCAUGGCCGGGGAGCGGGACAAGUUCCGAAAGAUGCUGGACGCCAAGGAGCAGGAGAUGACGGAGAUGCGGGACGUGAUGCAGCAGCAGCUGGCCGAGUACCAGGAGCUGCUGGAUGUGAAGCUGGCCCUGGACAUGGAGAUCAACGCCUACCGGAAGCUCCUGGAGGGCGAGGAGGAGAG